Molecule: long non-coding RNA, 679 nt
Organism: Alnus glutinosa
Lineage: Eukaryota; Viridiplantae; Streptophyta; Magnoliopsida; Fagales; Betulaceae
Exons: 3
Source: RefSeq, a predicted model, not a curated record
CUUACUUCUCACCUCUUUGCUUCUUUUAUUUCACUAUCUUAGAGUAUACAUAUCACAAUAUCAUGGAUAAUGCUUCAAUUCCUCUGAAAAGUACUUGAAGAAAGAUAUCGUUGAUUUGCUUGCGAAUGGACUCGAUAUCAAUGCUUAUGGACGGGUGAUAUUAUUGAUUUAUUGCUGACACUAGGUGCCUAAGUUGAAUGACCAAAAUUGUCCAAGUGAGCGUAUGGAUUCUAGGCAGCUCCCAAGCUUGCUUAUAUCUCUUUGGUAAUCCAUGGUGGCAUAAUCAAGGUUCAGAACCAGCAGGCAUUGCAGCUUUUGAAGGAGGAGAAAACUGAAAACAUGAAGUAAAAGGCCUGCAUCGUCAUUCAUUUUAUUCAGUAUCAUGCUUACUUAUUGAUGCAACAAGGAUGCAAGGAAGAGUUUGUUGAAGGAGAGACAAGGACCUGGUUGUGACUGUGAUGUCCGCAAUGGGAGAGAAGCAGAUUUGUGCUAUGAAGGACAUUGGCCUUAAGUAGUUUAUUUAUAUAAAUUAUUGAAGGACUAUUGUUGCAAUUUUAGUUAAAGAUUUAUGUGAGCCUUUAUAGCUUGUUUUUCUUAAGACUGGGUAUAUUGGGUGGUUGAUGUGGAUCUGGAACAAAGUUCUAUUACCUUUUUCUCUUAUGGUAUGUUUGAUUUUUAA